This 468-nucleotide ribosomal RNA is filed under the name uncultured bacterium. RNAcentral's name for it is "partial 16S ribosomal RNA". It matches the Rfam family "Bacterial small subunit ribosomal RNA", at positions 28 to 507 of the family's 1533-position model. The record is from RNAcentral.
GACGAACGCUGGCGGCGUGCUUAACACAUGCAAGUCGAACGGAAAGGCCCUGCUUUUGUGGGGUGCUCGAGUGGCGAACGGGUGAGUAACACGUGAGUAACCUGCCCUUGACUUUGGGAUAACUUCAGGAAACUGGGGCUAAUACCGGAUAUGAGCUCCUGCUGCAUGGUGUGGGUUGGAAAGUUUCGGCGGUUGGGGAUGGACUCGCGGCUUAUCAGCCUGUUGGUGGGGUAGUGGCUUACCAAGGCUUUGACGGGUAGCCGGCCUGAGAGGGUGACCGGCCACAUUGGGACUGAGAUACGGCCCAGACUCCUACGGGAGGCAGCAGUGGGGAAUAUUGCACAAUGGGCGGAAGCCUGAUGCAGCAACGCCGCGUGCGGGAUGACGGCCUUCGGGUUGUAAACCGCUUUCGCCUGUGACGAAGCGUGAGUGACGGUAAUGGGUAAAGAAGCACCGGCUAACUACGUG